ACUUAAAUAAUUUAUAUAAAAUAUUGAUUUGUGGUAUCAAAAAUAUGAGUUAACUCAUUUUAAGUU
RNAcentral lists this transfer RNA (66 nucleotides) under Phthorimaea operculella (potato tuberworm). RNAcentral's name for it is "tRNA-His". Lineage: Eukaryota; Metazoa; Arthropoda; Insecta; Lepidoptera; Gelechiidae. The record is from RNAcentral.